AGUGAACGCUGGCGGUAGGCCUAACACAUGCAAGUCGAACGGCAGCACCGUAAGAGCUUGCUCUUACGGGUGGCGAGUGGCGGACGGGCGAGGAAUACAUCGGAAUCUACUUUUUCGUGGGGGAUAACGUAGGGAAACUUACGCUAAUACCGCAUACGACCUACGGGUGAAAGCAGGGGAUCUUCGGACCUUGCGCGAUUGAAUGAGCCGAUGUCGGAUUAGCUAGUUGGCGGGGUAAAGGCCCAACAAGGCGACGAUCCGUAGCUGGUCUGAGAGGAUGAUCAGCCACACUGGAGCUGAGACACGGUCCAGACUCCUACGGGAGGCAGCAGUGGGGAAUAUUGGACAAUGGGCGCAAGCCUGAUCCAGCCAUACCGCGUGGGUGAAGAAGGCCUUCGGGUUGUAAAGCCCUUUUGUUGGGAAAGAAAAGCAGCAGGUUAAUACCCCGCUGUUCUGACGGUACCCAAAGAAUAAGCACCGGCUAACUUCGUG
Molecule: ribosomal RNA, 492 nt
Filed under: uncultured bacterium
Lineage: Bacteria
Description: partial 16S ribosomal RNA
Rfam family: Bacterial small subunit ribosomal RNA
Source: RNAcentral